RNAcentral lists this ribosomal RNA (956 nucleotides) under uncultured Neisseriaceae bacterium. Its description in RNAcentral is "bacterial SSU rRNA". It matches the Rfam family "Bacterial small subunit ribosomal RNA", at positions 532 to 1489 of the family's 1533-position model. The record is from RNAcentral. Lineage: Bacteria; Pseudomonadati; Pseudomonadota; Betaproteobacteria; Neisseriales; Neisseriaceae.
GUGCGAGCGUUAAUCGGAAUUACUGGGCGUAAAGCGAGCGCAGACGGUUAAUUAAGUCAGAUGUGAAAUCCCCGAGCUCAACUUGGGACGUGCAUUUGAAACUGGUUAACUAGAGUGUGUCAGAGGGAGGUAGAAUUCCACGUGUAGCAGUGAAAUGCGUAGAGAUGUGGAGGAAUACCGAUGGCGAAGGCAGCCUCCUGGGAUAACACUGACGUUCAUGCUCGAAAGCGUGGGUAGCAAACAGGAUUAGAUACCCUGGUAGUCCACACCCUAAACGAUGACAAUUAGCUGUUGGGACACUAGAUGUUUUAGUAGCGAAGCUAACGCGUGAAAUUGUCCGCCUGGGGAGUACGGUCGCAAGAUUAAAACUCAAAGGAAUUGACGGGGACCCGCACAAGCGGUGGAUGAUGUGGAUUAAUUCGAUGCAACGCGAAGAACCUUACCUGGUCUUGACAUGUACGGAAUCUCUUAGAGAUAGGAGAGUGCCUUCGGGAGCCGUAACACAGGUGCUGCAUGGCUGUCGUCAGCUCGUGUCGUGAGAUGUUGGGUUAAGUCCCGCAACGAGCGCAACCCUUGUCAUUAGUUGCCAUCAUUAAGUUGGGCACUCUAAUGAGACUGCCGGUGACAAACCGGAGGAAGGUGGGGAUGACGUCAAGUCCUCAUGGCCCUUAUGACCAGGGCUUCACACGUCAUACAAUGGUCGGUACAGAGGGUAGCGAAGCCGCGAGGUGAAGCCAAUCUCAGAAAGCCGAUCGUAGUCCGGAUUGCACUCUGCAACUCGAGUGCAUGAAGUCGGAAUCGCUAGUAAUCGCAGGUCAGCAUACUGCGGUGAAUACGUUCCCGGGUCUUGUACACACCGCCCGUCACACCAUGGGAGUGGGGGAUACCAGAAUUGGGUAGACUAACCGCAAGGAGGUCGCUUAACACGGUAUGCUUCAUGACUGGGGUGAAGUCGU